CGACCCCAGGUCAGGCGGGGCUACCCGCUGAGUUUAAGC
Molecule: ribosomal RNA, 39 nt
Filed under: Opuntia bravoana
Lineage: Eukaryota; Viridiplantae; Streptophyta; Magnoliopsida; Caryophyllales; Cactaceae
Also listed under: 2 other names
Description: partial 26S ribosomal RNA
Source: RNAcentral